Apodemus sylvaticus (European woodmouse) is the source of this 130-nucleotide small nucleolar RNA. RefSeq annotates it as small nucleolar RNA SNORA17. Lineage: Eukaryota; Metazoa; Chordata; Mammalia; Rodentia; Muridae. The transcript has a single exon. The record is from RefSeq and is a predicted model, not a curated record.
GUUGCCCCUAGAGGUCUUGUAGGUGUACCUGCUGUGUCACAUGUGUGUCAGUAGGUGGCAGAGUGGAGAGAGGAUGUGCUUAUGUUGUGUUCUAACCUGUAGACAUCUGAAUGAUUAGCAGCCUAAUACU